This is a long non-coding RNA of Daphnia magna, 272 nucleotides long. RefSeq lists it as uncharacterized. Lineage: Eukaryota; Metazoa; Arthropoda; Branchiopoda; Diplostraca; Daphniidae. The transcript is spliced from 2 exons. The record is from RefSeq and is a predicted model, not a curated record.
GUCCGCAAAGUGCCUCGACUGUCCAUCGCAGUUCGUUGUACCAUUAAAUCCCGAGCACUCCACGUCAGAAAUCAGUGUUGCAAAAAUGCAUCAUUUGUUCAUAACAUGACACUGUCAAGUCGCGAUCAUUUAUGUAGUUACAUCACUCCUGCUUGUUGAAAUCGUAAGCCCACGGCACCGUUCGGUAGCCUAUACAGUCUUUGACUUCGUCAGCAAAGUGCGUAAAUCACUGUACGAAUGUCAUGUAUAAAUAACACUGCAGCCCCGUGUUA